CUAAUGGUGAUGUCACUGAGAACUGCCAUGGCCUAUAUCCUGACCAGCUUUCCUUACAUUGACUGGUUCGAGGGUGCCCAUUCCAGAUACAACUUCUUUAGGAAUGAAUAUUUCUCAUUGGAGACCAGAGAAGAGACCUGCAGUUCCAUGAUUAAUAAACGUCAUUGCAAGACAUCAAAGCAAAAUGUAAAAGUGUGAAUGGAAUAAAUAUUUUAGGACAGU
Non-coding RNA from Rattus norvegicus (Norway rat), 222 nucleotides. Lineage: Eukaryota; Metazoa; Chordata; Mammalia; Rodentia; Muridae. The record is from RefSeq and is a predicted model, not a curated record.